Long non-coding RNA from Perca fluviatilis (European perch), 171 nucleotides. RefSeq lists it as uncharacterized. NCBI's taxonomy places the organism in Eukaryota, Metazoa, Chordata, Actinopteri, Perciformes, Percidae. The record is from RefSeq and is a predicted model, not a curated record. The transcript has 3 exons.
UUGAAAGGUAAAUUGAAAUAUUAAGAAGAAGAAGAUUGAGGACCAGACCAAGUUCACCUGAAUGCGUUAUUAACUUUAAAGGAGAGCAACCCUCUACUGAAAAGAGGAUCCAUCAAAGACCAGACUCUGCUGAACCUGAACCCAGCUGUGUGUCCUUCAAGAGUGACCGGU